RNAcentral lists this ribosomal RNA (307 nucleotides) under Ligilactobacillus salivarius. RNAcentral describes it as "bacterial SSU rRNA". It matches the Rfam family "Bacterial small subunit ribosomal RNA", at positions 223 to 522 of the family's 1533-position model. Lineage: Bacteria; Bacillati; Bacillota; Bacilli; Lactobacillales; Lactobacillaceae. The record is from RNAcentral.
AGAUGGACCCGCGGCGUAUUAACUAGUUGGUGGGGUAACGGCCUACCAAGGUGAUGAUACGUAGCCGAACUGAGAGGUUGAUCGGCCACAUUGGGACUGAGACACGGCCCAAACUCCUACGGGAGGCAGCAGUAGGGAAUCUUCCACAAUGGACGCAAGUCUGAUGGAGCAACGCCGCGUGAGUGAAGAAGGUCUUCGGAUCGUAAAACUCUGUUGUUAGAGAAGAACACGAGUGAGAGUAACUGUUCAUUCGAUGACGGUAUCUAACCAGCAAGUCACGGCUAACUACGUGCCAGCAGCCGCGGUA